CGGGGUGUGGCGCAGCUUGGUAGCGCGCUUCGUUCGGGACGAAGAGGUCGUGGGUUCGAAUCCCGCCACCCCGACCG
RNAcentral lists this transfer RNA (77 nucleotides) under Mycobacterium sp. RNAcentral describes it as "tRNA-Pro". It matches the Rfam family "tRNA". From Rfam's summary of the family: Transfer RNA (tRNA) molecules are approximately 80 nucleotides in length. Their secondary structure includes four short double-helical elements and three loops (D, anti-codon, and T loops). Lineage: Bacteria; Bacillati; Actinomycetota; Actinomycetes; Mycobacteriales; Mycobacteriaceae. The record is from RNAcentral. RNAcentral also lists the same sequence under 6 other names.